Molecule: ribosomal RNA, 254 nt
Filed under: uncultured bacterium
Lineage: Bacteria
Description: partial 16S ribosomal RNA
Rfam family: Bacterial small subunit ribosomal RNA
Source: RNAcentral
UACGGGGGGGGCAAGCGUUGUUCGGAAUUACUGGGCGUAAAGAGCGCGCAGGCGGUUGUGCAAGUCGCGUGUGAAAGCCCCCCGGCUCAACUGGGGAGGGUCACGCGAUACUGAUCGACUCGAAGGCAGGAGAGGGUAGUGGAAUUCCCGGUGUAGUGGUGAAAUGCGUAGAUAUCGGGAGGAACACCAGUGGCGAAGGCGACUACCUGGCCUGUUCUUGACGCUGAGGCGCGAAAGCUAGGGGAGCAAACGGG